UGGGGAAUCUUCCGCAAUGGACGAAAGUCUGACGGAGCAACGCCGCGUGAGUGAAGACGGCCUUCGGGUUGUAAAGCUCUGUGAUCCGGGACGAAAGAGCCUGAGGUGAAUAGCCUAAGGAAGUGACGGUACCGGAAAAGCAAGCCACGGCUAACUACGUGCCAGCAGCCGCGGUAAUACGUAGGUGGCAAGCGUUGUCCGGAAUUAUUGGGCGUAAAGCGCGCGCAGGCGGCUUCCUAAGUCCAUCUUUAAAGUGCGGGGCUUAACCCCGUGAUGGGAUGGAAACUGGGAAGCUGGAGUCUCGGAGAGGAAAGUGGAAUUCCUAGUGUAGCGGUGAAAUGCGUAGAGAUUAGGAAGAACACCGGUGGCGAAGGCGACUUUCUGGACGAAAACUGCCGCUGAGGCGCGAAAGCGUGGGGAGCAAACAGG
This 429-nucleotide ribosomal RNA is filed under the name Fusobacteriota bacterium. Its description in RNAcentral is "Fusobacteria bacterium partial 16S ribosomal RNA". It matches the Rfam family "Bacterial small subunit ribosomal RNA", at positions 355 to 776 of the family's 1533-position model. Lineage: Bacteria; Fusobacteriati; Fusobacteriota. The record is from RNAcentral.